RNAcentral lists this ribosomal RNA (501 nucleotides) under Theileria ovis. Its description in RNAcentral is "SSU rRNA". It matches the Rfam family "Eukaryotic small subunit ribosomal RNA", at positions 499 to 1033 of the family's 1831-position model. The record is from RNAcentral. Lineage: Eukaryota; Apicomplexa; Aconoidasida; Piroplasmida; Theileriidae.
UGUCUUGUAAUUGGAAUGAUGGGAAUUUAAACCUCUUCCAGAGUAUCAAUUGGAGGGCAAGUCUGGUGCCAGCAGCCGCGGUAAUUCCAGCUCCAAUAGCGUAUAUUAAAAUUGUUGCAGUUAAAAAGCUCGUAGUUGAAUUUCUGCUGCAUUGCUUUUGCUCCUUUACGAGUCUUUGCAUUGUGGCUUAUUUCGGACUUUGUUUUACAAUGUCCGGAUGUUUACUUUGAGAAAAUUAGAGUGCUCAAAGCAGGCUUUCGCCUUGAAUAGUUUAGCAUGGAAUAAUAAAGUAGGACUUUGGUUCUAUUUUGUUGGUUUUAGGUACCAAAGUAAUGGUUAAUAGGAACAGUUGGGGGCAUUCGUAUUUAACUGUCAGAGGUGAAAUUCUUAGAUUUGUUAAAGACGAACUACUGCGAAAGCAUUUGCCAAGGAUGUUUUCAUUAAUCAAGAACGAAAGUUAGGGGAUCGAAGACGAUCAGAUACCGUCGUAGUCCUAACCAU